AUCAAUAAGCGGAGGAAAAGAAACCAACAGGGAUUGCCCUAGUAACGGCGAGUGAAGCGGCAACAGCUCAAAUUUUGAAAUCUGGCUCUCUUUGGGGGUCCGAGUUGUAAUUUGCAGAGGAUGCUUUGGCAUUGGCGGCGGUCUAAGUUCCUUGGAACAGGACAUCGCAGAGGGUGAGAAUCCCGUACGUGGGCGCCUGCCUUUGCCGUGUAAAGCUCCUUCGACGAGUCGAGUUGUUUGGGAAUGCAGCUCUAAAUGGGAGGUAAAUUUCUUCUAAAGCUAAAUACCGGCCAGAGACCGAUAGCGCACAAGUAGAGUGAUCGAAAGAUGAAAAGUACUUUGGAAAGAGAGUCAAAAAGCACGUGAAAUUGUUGAAAGGGAAGCGCUUGCAGCCAGACUUGCCCGCAGUUGCUCACCUAGGCUUUGGCCUGGGGCACUCUUCUGCGGGCAGGCCAGCAUCAGUUUGGGCGGUCGGACAAAGGCCUCUGUCAAGUAUCUCCCUUCGGGGUGACCUUAUAGGGGAGGCGUAAUGCGACCAGCCCGGACUGAGGUCCGCGCAUCUGCUAGGAUGCUGGCGUAAUGGCUGUAAGCGGCCCGUCUUGAAACACGGACCAAGGAGUCUAACAUCUAUGCGAGUGUUUGGGUGUCAAGCCCGGGCGCGCAAUGAAAGUGAACGGAGGUGGGAACCCUUUGGGUGCACCAUCGACCGAUCCUGAUGUCUUCGGAUGGAUUUGAGUAAGAGCAUAGCUGUUGGGACCCGAAAGAUGGUGAACUAUGCUUGAAUAGGGUGAAGCCAGAGGAAACUCUGGUGGAGGCUCGCAGCGGUUCUGACGUGCAAAUCGAUCGUCAAAUUUGGGCAUAGGGCGAAAGACUAAUCGAACCAUCUAGUAGCUGGGUUCCUGC
Molecule: small RNA, 903 nt
Filed under: Paraconiothyrium cyclothyrioides
Lineage: Eukaryota; Fungi; Ascomycota; Dothideomycetes; Pleosporales; Didymosphaeriaceae
Description: eukaryotic LSU rRNA
Rfam family: Eukaryotic large subunit ribosomal RNA
Source: RNAcentral